GCUCAUUCAGUGCAACCCUGAAAGGAAGUGGAGAACAGAAGUGCUUGAAUCCAAAUUCCCGGUUUGCUCGGAAUUUCAUCAAGAAUGCACAAAGGCAGAAGAGGUCAACUGCCGAUGGGAGUCUGUUGAGGAGUUCAUCAUGAAGCAGAAGACGGCUUGCAUUCCCAAAUAGAACUGCCAGUUCCCUCUGAGUGGGGUCAUAGAAGCUGAAAUGUUUUGAAAUAUCUUGCAUAUGAAUGCAUUCACAUAUCUAAGGUUAUAUGAAGACGUGUCAUAGUUGUAUUAUUUAAAUUGGUUUGCUAAUUUAUUAAAUGUAUAACUACUUUAUAAAGGUGCAAUAAACAUUGUUUUUCAUUUUGUUUUUGAUGUCUUUUUGUUGUCUUUUAUGACAGUCUGUAAAAGCUAUUUUGCUGUUAUGUCCUAAUAAUGGAAACCUGUGAGGGAAAUAAUCCUACAUUGCAUUGUCUACUAAUGUUUGGUAACAUGUUUUGGUAUAUUUGAGGCACUGAUUUUGUUGUAAAUAAAAUGUGUUUUUCUAUGUUUA
Long non-coding RNA from Anguilla rostrata (American eel), 544 nucleotides. RefSeq lists it as uncharacterized. The transcript is spliced from 2 exons. NCBI's taxonomy places the organism in Eukaryota, Metazoa, Chordata, Actinopteri, Anguilliformes, Anguillidae. The record is from RefSeq and is a predicted model, not a curated record.